RNAcentral lists this long non-coding RNA (2478 nucleotides) under Triticum aestivum (bread wheat). RNAcentral's name for it is "long non-coding RNA (TAES_LNC027022)". Lineage: Eukaryota; Viridiplantae; Streptophyta; Magnoliopsida; Poales; Poaceae. The record is from RNAcentral.
UGGCAAUUCAUUUUCUAUUCUCCAUCCUUUAAGGUCAUAACAGAAGAAAUAACUAUGCAAUUGACUUGAUCACUAUUGUUUUAUCUAGAAAAAAAUAUGUUUUGUACGCAUGUAUUGAUGAGUACUCCUCUUGACUCGAUUGUGUUGCAAGGAGUGAAAGAAUCCAGUUGGGUGGUCUGCAGCUCUGAUCACCUCCAGCAUCACCACAUAAUCAAAGUUCCAAACAGUAGUGCUGCACUGCUACCUCCAGCCAGCAUUUCACUUUGAUGUUUAUAGGUGGCUUAACAUGAUCAUUUGAUGUGUAUCUUAUGUAGAAGAUUUGAAUGAUGUACGUGUUUAUUUUAGAAAACAUUUCUUAAUGACGCCUUGCAUAUAUACAAGACAGAUAUUCAUGUACAUUAGCUUUAGUUUUGUUUGUUAACUAGAAACUGUGGUUACCUUUUUUUAACCGAAAUCACUAAAGCAUGGGAUGCAUUUGGGGUUUCCAGAUAGCUAAUAUUAGGAGCACACAAGACUUAGACUACUGCUAUGUAACUAAAGGAAAUCAGAACAUUCACCAAUAUCCUCUGUAUAUUUUCUAGCCUUGAAUUCCUGACUUUUUCAUACAAAUUAUAAUUUGGAAACUUUAUUUAUAGGAAUGAUAAAUAGUAUGUACAAAUGCCUUUACUAAAAUUAAGCUUACAUUAGCCACAUGGAAGCCAACACAAUAUCACAUGUAAUAUUUCUUAGUUAGUCAAAAGUAUGCUUCUUUUAAAAUUUAUGGUUCUAAUAUUUUUUUCUCACAUAAAUAUGUUCCAGUUAUAUAUGGUAAACUAAAGCUGUUUAGCCCAUGCAGACGCACGGGUUAACGACUAGUCUAACUAACUCGGGGAUAAAUUCAUUGAUCCAGAUGUAAAAUUGCCAAGAUAGUAACUAGUACACAUAGAACAGGAGGAAUAUAGGUUGCUCUUCUUUUAUUAAGUACGAAUGGAUCUUGAUGAAGCUUUACUUCUUUAGCACUGUUCUAGAGAUGCAUGAGACACCUGUAACCUUUUUCCCUUGGUUUUGAAGCUACACGCACCAACUCGAUGUAUGGUGACUCCAUGGAGCAAGUCAAGUUCGUGGAGCAAGUCAUGGACGAUGCCAUGGAAGGUAUACUCUCUCCCUCUCCCUACCAUGGUACUGCUCAUUGUGUCCACGACCAUUGAGCCAUGCUAGGUUCUAUGCUGCUGUCCAUGAAAAUUUAUAGCAUUUGGGGCUGUAGGUUUCAGUGGAUUUAUUUAGCAAUAAAUAAUUCUGUUAGUUCACAGAAAACAAUUUGACUGUAGCUGUACAGAAUUAGCAAUGGAUCUCUAGGCUGGUGAUGACUAUGUAAAUUUGUUUCAGUGGAUAUGGGGCUGUAGUUUUGUUCCAAAGCGUGGUGAGCACCUUUAGGGUUUUUUUCAUGUUGGAUGACUGAAACCAACUAGAGCUAAAUGUUUUGGUUCAGUUUUAGAUGACAAACCGUUUUGGUUCAGUUUGCUAACUAAAUGGAGAAGAGAAAAGAAGUGGUACUAUCACUCACAUUGCCCUUGAAUGCACAUCAACACUUAGGCUACUCUCCAUAUAAUUUUAUUAAGCCAUGUUUUUCUGCAGGCUGUGUCAUAUAUUGUGGCGUCUUGAUUAAUCAUCAAUGACAACUAACACUCAUGUCGGUCUCUUUUCACAAUCACAAUAGGGACGUAGCUCUUGCUAUAGUUCUAAGUUGUGAUCCAAAAUUUAAGCUUGAUGAUGCUAAAAAUUACAAAUGAAUUCUUGGUAGUGCAUGUCGAUAUGGCACUUGUGAAAACUGAAGAUUUGGUAUGGAGUCGCAAAAGGUGAAAUACUCUUGAUAAUACAGAAAAAAAAGAAUACAUGACCUUCAACCUUCGUACAUGCCUGAUAUCCUGCUGCCUCUAUUACUACAUUCAUCAUGUCAAUGCAUUGUGUAUUAACAGUUCAUUUUGUUAUUUUCUUUAUAGAUUCAAAAUAUAUAUGGAUGAUUAUAAUGGUGCGUGGCAAGUAUAUUGCAAUGAUGAUGAUGUUCCGGUUCAUGAUGAUGAUGAUGUUCCGGUUCAUGAUGAUAAUGAUGGAUGCUAUCAGUUUUAGUUAAGUUGUAGGGAUGAUGUUCCUGUCUGAUGAUGUUCCCCAGUUAAGUUAGUUUAAGUUGUAGGGAUGUUGAAGGAUGCUUUCUAUUUAAGUUUCGCUGUCAAGAAAAUAUUUAGAUUAUGCAUCAAAUUUGGAUGAUGUUUCCCCUGCAAUAUCAACCAUUGUAAUCCAACAACUUUAUCCAAUAUAUGAUUUCUUUCUCUAAUGAGUAUAUUCUUUUUUUUCCACACUUCAUAUACAUAAUUACCACUGUUAUGUUGAGCAUUAAUUUAAUUGUUGGCAAUAUUAUUUACAUUAUAUAUGUAACAACACAUGAAGCGUUGAAAAAUCCUAGUUGCCAGAAAUGAGAUUUGGAUUCUUGUACAUUAAGCA